ACAAAUUAGAGUGCUUAAAGCAGGCAAGCCCGCCUGAAUAUUGUGUGCAUGGAAUAAUGGAAUAGGACCUCGGUUCUAUUUUGUUGGUUUUCGGAACCCGAGGUAAUGAUUAAUAGGGACUGGCGGGGGCAUUCGUAUUGCGACGUUAGAGGUGAAAUUCUUGGAUCGUCGCAAGACGAACAGAAGCGAAAGCAUUUGCCAAGUAUGUUUUCAUUAAUCAAGAACGAAAGUUAGAGGUUCGAAGGCGAUCAGAUACCGCCCUAGUUCUAACCAUAAACGAUGCCAGCCAGCGAUCCGUCGAGUUCCUCCGAUGACUCGGCGGGCAGCCACCGGGAAACCAAAGCUUUUGGGUUCCGGGGGAAGUAUGGUUGCAAAGCUGAAACUUAAAGGAAUUGACGGAAGGGUACCACAAGGAGUGGAGUCUGCGGCUUAAUUUGACUCAACACGGGAAAACUCACCAGGCCCGGACACCCGAAGGAUUGACAGAUUGAUAGCUCUUUCUUGAUUGGGUGCGUGGUGGUGCAUGGCCGUUCUUAGGUCGUGGAGCGAU
RNAcentral lists this ribosomal RNA (550 nucleotides) under Tetrix japonica. RNAcentral describes it as "SSU rRNA". It matches the Rfam family "Eukaryotic small subunit ribosomal RNA", at positions 761 to 1310 of the family's 1831-position model. The record is from RNAcentral. RNAcentral also lists the same sequence under 1 other name. Lineage: Eukaryota; Metazoa; Arthropoda; Insecta; Orthoptera; Tetrigidae.